AGACUUGUAGUUCAGUGGUAGAACGCAGUCUUGAUAAGACUGAGGACACUGGUUCAAGCCCAGUCAAGUCUA
RNAcentral lists this transfer RNA (72 nucleotides) under Candidatus Tremblayella phenacoccinincola. Its description in RNAcentral is "Candidatus Tremblaya phenacola tRNA-Ile". It matches the Rfam family "tRNA". From Rfam's summary of the family: Transfer RNA (tRNA) molecules are approximately 80 nucleotides in length. Their secondary structure includes four short double-helical elements and three loops (D, anti-codon, and T loops). The record is from RNAcentral. Lineage: Bacteria; Pseudomonadati; Pseudomonadota; Betaproteobacteria.